Molecule: ribosomal RNA, 465 nt
Filed under: uncultured bacterium
Lineage: Bacteria
Description: partial 16S ribosomal RNA
Rfam family: Bacterial small subunit ribosomal RNA
Source: RNAcentral
GCGGCGUGCUUCAUGCAUGCAAGUCGAACGAGAAGCAGGAGCUUGCUCCUGUGGAAAGUGGCGGACGGGUGAGUAACACGUAGGAAAUCUGCCUUUGGGUGGGGGACAACAGUUGGAAACGACUGCUAAUACCCCAUAUGAGCUUGAUUGCAAUACCAAUCUUGAAAACUCCGGUGCCUAAAGAUGAGCCUGCGUCUGAUUAGCUUGUUGGCGGGGUAAUGGCCCACCAAGGCGACGAUCAGUAGCUGGUUUGAGAGGAUGAUCAGCCACAAUGGGACUGAGACACGGCCCAUACUCCUACGGGAGGCAGCAGUAGGGAAUUUUGCGCAAUGGGGGAAACCCUGACGCAGCAACGCCGCGUGAAUGACGAAGCCCUUCGGGGUGUAAAGUUCUGUCAGUAGGGAAGAAUUUUGACUGUACCUACAAAGGGAGCACCGGCUAACUCCGUGCCAGCCGCCGCCGUAA